Molecule: long non-coding RNA, 587 nt
Organism: Aegilops tauschii subsp. strangulata
Lineage: Eukaryota; Viridiplantae; Streptophyta; Magnoliopsida; Poales; Poaceae
Source: RefSeq, a predicted model, not a curated record
CACAUAGUAAAUGCUCAUUUCAUUGUAUGCAAGAGAUGUGGCAUGUUUCAUUAUGUGGUGUUGUUUUGUUAUAAACUUGUCCUUUUGUGUUGUUCACAGACUGGAAAGUAUGCAUAUUUAUCUUCCAAGGAGACCAGUAACUAGUUUGUGUCACCUUGCAGAGGGGGUGCAAUGAAGAUAAGAUUGAGGAUUUCCAAGUACAAGAUGUUAGGAAGGAGCCUUGCGAGAGAAGGAGGAGCAGCGUUGAGCCUGUUCAACCAGUUAUGAAACAUUUUAGGAUGAAGUGACAUCAACACAAAGAUCUGAGAGCAGUGUGGCAUGGUCGUUACCAAAUGAUUAUGGAUUGGAAUUGGAAUGUGCUGAUUUUCUCGAGCAUCAACUAGAGGUGGCAAGACAACAUGUACAUGAUUCUCAACAUGCAAUCAAGAAGUUGAGACUGGAGUUGCAGGUAUUGGAGAUUUUGCAGGUAACCACAAAGGAAUUGGAGAUUUUGCAGACUAAAAUUUCUAUUAUCACUAGUAAAAAAAGACACAUCCGUGACAUUUUGGGCCGAACAAUUUUUUUCUGUCAUACAUAUGACACUUCUA